Molecule: non-coding RNA, 466 nt
Organism: Camellia sinensis
Lineage: Eukaryota; Viridiplantae; Streptophyta; Magnoliopsida; Ericales; Theaceae
Source: RefSeq, a predicted model, not a curated record
AUUUCUCUCACUAGAGAUAUAAUUAUUUUUUUAUUUUUUUGUUGUCAGGUACUACCAUCUUUAAGGGAAAAGAAAGAUGAGAAUUUGUUACAAGAACUAGCAAAAAGAUGGAAUAACACAAGGUUUACGGGGAAAUGAAUGAUCAAGUGAGGGAUGUUGUAAUAUCUAUGGUUGUAGAACAUGAAUUGCUCUUUGUAUUUGCAAAGAAAAAACAACUUGAUAGUGAGGCUGCAUAAAUUGAUGAGUGGGCCAUCUAUUUCUUUCCUUUUAUUAUUUAUUUAUUUAUUUCUUAUUCCCUUUUUACUUUGAUGGGUGAUAUUGAGAAUUGUUUAUGGCAUUGAAGGACUAAAGUACAAUAAAACCAAAAUUUCUUGAAGCUUUAAAGCACAAAGUGCAAACAACAAUGUAAUAAAUAAUUACACAAUUGUGCAAUUUUAUAUGUAAUUUAUGUCAUUUUAGUUGCGUC